UAAAACCUUCAACGUUAUCAUGUGAAUGCAGUGACCAAUAUACCAGUGAAUCUUCCUCCCAUAGCUCGCAUCUUUAUUUUUAACAAAACAGAGAAAAACAUAUAAAGAUAUGUAUAAGAUUUGGAAUGCAAAGAAAGGAGGGAACGCUUUUAUACUUAUCAUGACCUGUUGCCUCGACAGAAAUCAAAUACUGGUGGAAAGAAAAUAAGUUUCGCAAACGUCUCAGGAUCUCUCAUCUUCGAUGGCUUAAUGAUUUUUGAUGACUUUUCACCUUCAGAGUAUAUGAAAUACCCCUCUGCUCCUUG
Molecule: long non-coding RNA, 305 nt
Filed under: Populus tremula
Lineage: Eukaryota; Viridiplantae; Streptophyta; Magnoliopsida; Malpighiales; Salicaceae
Description: long non-coding RNA (PTRE_LNC001215)
Source: RNAcentral